AUGUUUGAGGAAAGUUCUUUUUUGUUGCAGAUUAUGGAUGAGCAUCUGCCGUGCGGUUUCAGUGCGGAUGAGGUUCCGGAGCGGUCCACUGAUUUUUUUUGCUUGCAGUGUAGUGUGGUGAAAUUAUACUCGUCCUCCCCCUUCAUCCUCACCACUUUAUACUUAGUCAUGCAGUGCACCCCUAAAAGUGGUGCAGUACUCGCAAAAUUGUCGUUAGUUUUAUACUUAGUCAUGCAGUGCACUAGCAAAAAAGUGGUGUUGUACUCGCAAAAUUAG
RNAcentral lists this ribosomal RNA (276 nucleotides) under Triticum aestivum (bread wheat). RNAcentral describes it as "partial small subunit ribosomal RNA". Lineage: Eukaryota; Viridiplantae; Streptophyta; Magnoliopsida; Poales; Poaceae. The record is from RNAcentral.